Molecule: long non-coding RNA, 522 nt
Filed under: Sus scrofa (pig)
Lineage: Eukaryota; Metazoa; Chordata; Mammalia; Artiodactyla; Suidae
Description: lncRNA (ENSSSCG00030026614.1)
Source: RNAcentral
CUGGGAGAAUUUAAUGGUGCAUCUCUCCACGCCCUUCUGACCAGAAGGCUCUUCCGUGCAGGCACAGAGCAGUGGGGUACUUAAUCCACCCAGGUGUCCGUUAAGUGUUUGUCGAAUGAAUGAGCAGAUGUGUGUUUCCUAACCAAGCCUACGGUUUAUGAAUAGGUAGAUGUACCUGCGGAAUAGACCAAUGGAGCUGGAGUCACCUGCCACCAAUUUGGGACAUCGUGCUAUGAAGCAUUCGAAAACGAACGAGGAAGCAGUACAAGCGUGAUAGACACCUUGCACUGGUCCUGUCAGCUUUGUGUUUCGCUGGAGAGCAACAGGCAGAUUCAAGGACCCGCCCACCUCUGGUGAAAAGGCAGGGAAGCCUUGCUUUCUGAGGCCUCCAGGCUGUCAUUCUUCAGGCACACCCUCUUCUAACAAAGCACUGGGAGGGCUCAGAAGAAAAAGGUUUACUGGAGUCAUCAGGAGGCUGCCGCAGAAAUCAGGAGAUGGCGAGCUAGAGAGUUUUAUUUUAUC